Molecule: ribosomal RNA, 292 nt
Filed under: uncultured Cylindrospermopsis sp.
Lineage: Bacteria; Bacillati; Cyanobacteriota; Cyanophyceae; Nostocales; Aphanizomenonaceae
Description: partial 16S ribosomal RNA
Rfam family: Bacterial small subunit ribosomal RNA
Source: RNAcentral
CGCAAUGGGCGAAAGCCUGACGGAGCAAUACCGCGUGAGGGAGGAAGGCUCUUGGGUCGUAAACCUCUUUUCUCAAGGAAGAAGAAAGUGACGGUACUUGAGGAAUAAGCAUCGGCUAACUCCGUGCCAGCAGCCGCGGUAAUACGGAGGAUGCAAGCGUUAUCCGGAAUGAUUGGGCGUAAAGGGUCUGCAGGUGGAACUGAAAGUCUGCUGUUAAAGAGUUUGGCUUAACCAAAUAAAAGCGGUGGAAACUACAGAACUAGAGUGCGGUAGGGGCAAAACGAAUUCCUGG